UUGGCCGUGAACUUCCAGUAGUCCUGCGACUCCAGCAGCGCCUCGUAGCUGUAGUGGUCGCCGUCCGCCAGCACCCCGAGCACGGUGGCGUCACCGUACUUGCCGGCGCCAAUCUUGUUCACCUUGCCGUGGGCGAUGAGGACGAUGCAGUCCGCUUCCUUGCCCACCUCGGUGAUGACAUCGCCGGCCUUGUACGUCUUCUGCUCGAAGCGGUUGGCCAGCGCCGUCAGCACCUCGACGUCGUCGUAGCUGCGCAGCAGGGGGAGCUCACACAGCUCCUGCGGGAUGACCUGCACCUUGGCGCCGGUGGUGGUGAACGUCACGCGGCCAUCGCCCACCGCGUAGCUCAGCCGGCGGUUGACGCGGUAUACGCCACCGGACACCUGCACCCAGGGCAGCAGCUUGAGCAGCCACCGGGAGGAGAUGCCCUGCAUCUGCGGGACGGACUUGGUCGUCGUGGCCAGCUGGCGCGCGGCGGCCGUGCCCAAGCUCAACUGGGACUUCUCGG
RNAcentral lists this antisense RNA (508 nucleotides) under Myxococcus xanthus. RNAcentral's name for it is "Saccharopolyspora sRNA 350". It matches the Rfam family "Saccharopolyspora sRNA 350". RNAcentral also lists the same sequence under 1 other name. The record is from RNAcentral. Lineage: Bacteria; Pseudomonadati; Myxococcota; Myxococcia; Myxococcales; Myxococcaceae.